This 498-nucleotide ribosomal RNA is filed under the name uncultured bacterium. RNAcentral describes it as "partial 16S ribosomal RNA". It matches the Rfam family "Bacterial small subunit ribosomal RNA", at positions 30 to 523 of the family's 1533-position model. The record is from RNAcentral.
AUUGAACGCUGGCGGCAUGCCUUACACAUGCAAGUCGAACGGUAACAGGUCUUCGGAUGCUGACGAGUGGCGAACGGGUGAGUAAUACAUCGGAACGUGCCUAGUAGUGGGGGAUAACUACUCGAAAGAGUGGCUAAUACCGCAUGAGAUCUACGGAUGAAAGCAGGGGAUCGCAAGACCUUGUGCUACUAGAGCGGCCGAUGGCAGAUUAGGUAGUUGGUGGGAUAAAAGCUUACCAAGCGGACGAUCUGUAGCUGGUCUGAGAGGACGAUCAGCCACCAUGGGAGUGGGACAGGGCCCAGACUCCUAACGGAGGUAGAGGUGGGGAAGUUUGUCCAAUGGUCGCAAGCCUGAUCCAGCAAUGCCGCGUGCAGGAGGAAGGCCUUCGGGUCGUAAACUGCUUUUGUACGGACCGAAAAGCCCUGGGUUAAUACCCUGGGGUCAUGACGGUACCGUAAGAAUAAGCACCGGCUAACUACGUGCCAGCAGCCGCGGUAA